AGAGCCCUCCCGUCCUCAUCUUGUUCCAGACAGGAUUUCCCUAUUCAGCAAGCUGUCUUGUGGGAGUGCAAUCUGACAUGACAAACACAACUGCUGAAUUAUCGGUGUUUUGUGGGGGGCAGAGCAAAAACAACAACUUGCUUUGUGACCUGGAGCCCUCCAUGGACCUCAAGAGUUGGGUGAGCCAGCCGUGUUCACCGCCAGAGUCGAAUGGGCAUGGCUUUGAAUAGACAUGCAAACAUUACACUCUCCAGCACUUCGCAGGUGAAAAUAAGGGCAGUUGUACAUUUCUAACACUCCAGUUCUUCCACCCAGAAGAUUUUCCCAAGCUCCUUCCUGUUGCUGGGAAGCAUUUUGCAGGGUGAAAUGGCCAAGAUGUUACCUGUUAUCACUUCAAGCAGUCAUCAUGGCUUCCGCCCAAAGACUUCUGGGAGCUGUGGCAAUGGAUUUGAGGUCUGGAUGCACAGAAAGAACAUGACAUUCGGUGGUUGCUAAAUCUCCUGCUGCAGAUUUAAUGUUAAACCGAAAACAAGGUUCUUUAAGCCUGAAAAUCAUAUUUUUUUGUGACAUACGGUAGUUACUGUGUCAGAGAUAACCCUGCAUGCAUUUUCCCCAGCGUAGCAAGCAAUCAGCUUUUGCAGCUUCUUGGUGUAGGCAAAUUUUACUACUUCAAAACCAAACAUUGUGAACUAGGUCAAGACCAUUGCACCUUAUUUUCCAGACCUCUCAUAAAAUAAUUAUGGUCCUUGGGAUCAGAUGUAAAGAGCGGUGGGGUGGGGGAAAGCGUGAACAACAUGUUUGGCUAUAACAUUCUCUUGCAGGUAGAGAUGUCAGAGAAUUCUGAGGAAAAUGGAACUUGCUGGUGUUCACUAAUUUGUCCCCUGUCUGGAACUGAUAUCAAUCCAGCAAAUACAAUUGGUGUUUGCUACCGUUGCCUUUAGCCUACAAAUGAUAUGCUAUCGAUUGUGUGUGUCCUCCCGCCACCAUUGGCAUUACACACCCUUUGCAAUUAAAUGAACAGGGUGGAAUAAUGUAAUGCAAUUUACCUAAUUCCACCACAGCAGACUUUAAGUUGAAUUACGUCGUUUUUGGCAGAAGCUGAACUGCAGCGAAAUGGAAACAGCGAUGCAUGCGGCGAAUGCAACUGAACAUCAGUUGCUGGAAACCACAGAAUGGGAGAGUGUGGUUGUGCUCAAGUCCUGCUUGCAGGUUUCCCGCAGGCAUCUGGUUGGUCACUGUGGGAACAGGAUGCUGGACUACAUGGGCCAUUGGCCUGAUCCUGCAGGUUCUUCUUGUUCCUUUCUAAGAAACCUGCAGUGAGUGUUGCGUGGAUAGUGUUGUUACUCUUCAGUUCUUGAUGGAAACAAUAAAGUUCUUGUCUAGCUUCUUGACUAGUUUGCUCUCUAAGGCAGGAAGGAGCAGGAAACCUGUAGCCUUCCAGAUGCUGAACUCCCAUCAGCCCCAGCCAGCAGGGCUAAUGGUCACAGGUGACAAGUGUGAACUUACCGUAUUUUUCCGUGUACAGUGGUACUUCGGGUUAAGUACUUAAUUCGUUCCGGAGGUCUGUACUUAACCUGAAACUGUUCUUAACCUGAAGCACCACUUUAGCUAAUGGGGCCUCCUGCUGCUGCUGCACCACCAGAGCACAAUUUCUGUUCUUAUCCUGAAGCAAAGUUCUUAACCUGAAGCACUAUUUCUGGGUUAGCAGAGUGUGUAACCUGAAGCGUAUGUAACCUGAAGCGUAUGUAACCUGAGGUACCACCUCAGGUUACAAACGCUUCAGGUUACAAACUCCGCUAACCUGGAAGAGUUACCUCGAGUUGAGAACUUUGCCCCAGGAUGAGAACGGAAAUCGUGUGCCGGCGGCACAGCAGCAGCAAGAGGCCCCAUUAGCGAAAGCACGCCUCUAGUUAAGAACAGUUUCAGGUUAAGAACGGACCUCCGGAAUGAAUUAAUUUUGUAACUAGAGGUACCACUGUAUAACACGCUCCCAUGUAUAAGACUUUUGGGGGAUUCCAAAUUGAGAAAAUGGGGGGAGAUUGCCCAGGGUUGUUGAGCAUUUUUGUGAGGGGAUUGCACACAGUUGCAGAGCUUUUUUUUGGGGGGGGGGGAAUUGCCCAGACAUCUUGAGCUUUUUCAGGGGGGUUGCUGAAAAUCGCUCACCUGCAGGACUGGCACAGCCAAUCGCACGCACAUCGACAAAGCAACCAAUUGUCUGCAUGCUCAAUGAAAGCAAGCACCAAUCACACACACCCAAUUGCCGUAGCAGCCAAUAGCCAGUGGACCUUGCCGCACCCACCAAUCACCCACAAAAACGCCACUGACAAUCUCCUGCUCGCGGCAGCCACCAAUCGCCCAUCCCACCUCUCCACUAUCCGGGUAUAAGAUGACCCCAAAUUUUUAGCAUAAUUUUAAAAUAAAAUAACCUCGUCUUAUACACUGAAAAAUAUGGUACGUUUGCAACUUCUGAUCAAGGAAACUGAGUUAACUUAAUGGGUUCAGAUAUGCUGAAGGCCUUUAACCUGUAAUGAUUGCUAUCGAAGACUGAGAUUGUUUUACUGCAGCUGGUAGCAGUUAUCUCAAAAAGGCAGUUGAGGAGUAUCUGAAGUUUGUACAGGCCAAUAAAACUAACCCUCUCUGGAAUGACAACUUGGUGAAGCAAUAACAUCAUUUCCCUAUAAUUGGUAUAUAUUUGGAUAGGUGUUUGUUUUGAUCUGUUUCAGCUCCACUGUUGAUCUUUCAAGAACUUGCUUGCCCAGCCUCUGGCAGCAGUUUAGCUCUUUUUAUAACAACAGAAGCUCUCUUCAGGCAUUAUCAAGCAUGCAGGAAGAAUUGCAGCUGGCCCCACCUUUCACCUUGGGGGGCAAGGUCUGAAGGAGACUUUUAUGUGUAUUUCCCAGAAUGUGCUUGCACACUUCCCCAUAACCAGGAACUAGUCCAAUAUGGGGAAAUGUCCCCAUAACCAGGAACUAGUCCAAUAUGGGGAAAUUUAAGCUAAACAAGCAGGUAUGGGAAUAAAAUGUUGCAGUUUUCUAAUCAGCCAGCCAUAUCCUAUGUUGAUUUGUUGUUGUUGUUGUUGUCGUUUAGUCAUGUCCGACUCUUCGUGACCCCAUGGACCAGAGCACGCCAGGCACUCCGGUCUUCCAUUCCAUUUCCCAUUCUUCUUAGUUUCCCAUUCCUUCUAAGGUGAAUCAUUAUUCCAUGCUCCUGCAACCAUCGUGGGUUCUCUUCCCUUAUGUAUUCUUUCUGAAGUUUAUUUUUUUAAUUAUUUCUGCAAACAUUGCAGAAACAUUGCAUCCUCAAGCCUGCUAAGACUUCCUUCUUCCAUCAGAGGUCACAAAGAGAAGGGAAAAAUAUACGAAAACAACAAGAAGAGAUGAGGAAAACAACAAAGAGAGGAUUGGAUAGAAUUGUGAAGAUUAUUUGGACAGAACUGUGAACAUCAAAGCAGCAGCAAUAAGAUGAUCGGAUCCCUUUCGGAGCUCAAAAUAUGGGUACCCCCAACAAAAAUUUAAAAUUUGGCUCUGUAAUUUGGAAUUAAUGUGAUUUGAUUGGUUUGUUAAUAAAAAUUAUU
This is a non-coding RNA of Podarcis lilfordi (Lilford's wall lizard), 3574 nucleotides long. NCBI's taxonomy places the organism in Eukaryota, Metazoa, Chordata, Lepidosauria, Squamata, Lacertidae. The record is from the annotation of a GenBank genome assembly.